Molecule: long non-coding RNA, 841 nt
Organism: Asparagus officinalis (garden asparagus)
Lineage: Eukaryota; Viridiplantae; Streptophyta; Magnoliopsida; Asparagales; Asparagaceae
Exons: 2
Source: RefSeq, a predicted model, not a curated record
AUCCUCUACUAACGAGGGAGUUGCUAAUAUCUCCUAAUGAACAAAUCUCAGCCGUUCAUUUUACAUCAACGGCCAGUAUCCUCACUACACAUCCCCAUGAAGUUCUCUCUCCCCUUCACACCCCCCUUCAACAUCCUGCAGCUCCCUCUCUCCCCCUCCCUCUCUCCCCCUCCAAGAUCAUCGGCGCUCGGCGCUCUCUCCCCCUCGAUCUCGAUUCGCGAGCUCACCGCAAAUCUGGACCACCUCCGCGAGCCGACCCCGCCGUUGAUCUCUCUCUCUCUCGAACUCGAUCUCGAUCCGCGAGCGGAGUUCGUCGCAGAUCCGGACCACCGCAAAUCUGGACCACCUCCACGAGCCGACCCCGCCGUUGAUAUCUCUCUCUCUCUCGAACUCGAUCUCGAUCCGUGAGCGGAGAUCGUCGCAGAUCCGGACCACCUCUGCGAGCUCUCUCUCUUCCCCAAAACUCUCCCCAAAAUUCCUCCGCGAGAUUCCUCCUCCGACGCUGCAGAAAUUUGCGAGUGGAUUGUAACAGCCGGAGCAAAGAAGAUGCCUUGAGGUGAAGGUAGAAGUGCAGUAAGCUAGCAUAUUUUGGGAAUCACCAAUUUUACCGACUGAUAGAGAAGGAAAGGAGUUUUCGUUUCUUUCCCUUGCCUGAUUUUACCGACUGGUGGAAAUUUUAUUGUAAAAGAAUGUAAAUAUUGAGUUGUAAGCUACGUUAGCUUGGGCAAGCAGUUUGAAUGUAAGGAAUAUUUAUCUUCAGUUUUAUUGUGUGCAUGUACAACAAAAUGUUCAAUGCUGUAGUUCUUCCAUGUUUCAACUUUUCAUGAGACUUGAUGUUCUA